UUUUCCGUUGCUGCGUCAUCGACUCAUCUUUCUUUAGAUAGACGGACCAAAACCCUUUAGUCGUUUCUUCUUCCAAAAUAAACCGUUCCCCAAAUCAAGAUCACCAAAAGAUCGAAUCAAAAUCACCGGUAAAAUCAUAAUCUAUGCGAUACAUUUAUGCCCAAUCGAGGAAAAACAAACCAAAUUCUAAUUUCAAAUCAAACACACCACACUAUUCUUUCCCCACAAACUGGAUUGAAACCAACUUAAACAGAUAUAAUUUGGAUUUCAUCAUCACCUGUAACGUUUUCAAUCUCCGUAUACAAGGCGAGGAAUCCCGUGAUACUCCAUAUGAAGUUAACAACACUAUUCCGGUGGAAGGCUAUGAGUCCAUUGACUUCAUUCUUAUAAGAAUGUGUGGGUCCGAUGGUAACAACGGAUAUGGUCAACAUGUGGCGACUUAUCUUUGCUUGAUUGUGUUGGAAUUUUACUCAAAAGGGACAAAAAUUUCAUGAUUUGGAGAUGAGGGUUGUGCUUGAUACUAUUGCUGCUGCACAUGGUGGCUAGGCAAAGGCUGAAGCGAAGGCGUCUUCAGGAAAUGAGUCAGUUUAUCGAGAGAUAGUGUUAGGGCUGAUGAAGCACAUCAUCAUGGACAUACACGUUCAAGGGCAUGACUCAAGGAAUCAACAACUUCGAUUGAGUAUCACUGAAAUUCUUCUUUGUGUACAUAUUAAUCUACAAUACUUGGUGUCGGUAUUCACGUGAAUCUUAUAGUCACAUUUUCUGGACCUCAUGUGCCUCAGGAACGAUAGUCAAUAUUGAAAAAUAGGCAUAACUGUGCAUAUUAACUAUGCUAUAAUUGUGAAUAUUUUGGGCAUCUCAUUUGCCUGGGUAACUAUAAGGCAUGCGCAUCGCGUGUGCGUCUUUGCU
Long non-coding RNA from Papaver somniferum (opium poppy), 909 nucleotides. RefSeq lists it as uncharacterized. NCBI's taxonomy places the organism in Eukaryota, Viridiplantae, Streptophyta, Magnoliopsida, Ranunculales, Papaveraceae. The transcript has 4 exons. The record is from RefSeq and is a predicted model, not a curated record.